AUUUCAAAGAGGGCUUGUUGGGCUGAGAAACCAGGAGCCUCUUCUGCCAGAACCAAAGAUGCAGCCCUUUAGUAUGUGACAUAGUCACUCAGGAGUGCUAGGAUUGUUUUUGGGUUUUUUUU
RNAcentral lists this small nucleolar RNA (122 nucleotides) under Jaculus jaculus (lesser Egyptian jerboa). Its description in RNAcentral is "Small nucleolar RNA SNORA25 (ENSJJAG00000007208.1)". The record is from RNAcentral. Lineage: Eukaryota; Metazoa; Chordata; Mammalia; Rodentia; Dipodidae.